Molecule: ribosomal RNA, 233 nt
Filed under: uncultured bacterium
Lineage: Bacteria
Description: partial 16S ribosomal RNA
Rfam family: Bacterial small subunit ribosomal RNA
Source: RNAcentral
CGCGGGUGAGUAACGCGUGGGUAACCUACCCUGUACACACGGAUAACAUACCGAAAGGUAUGCUAAUACGGGAUAAUAUAUUUGAGAGGCAUCUCUUGAAUAUCAAAGGUGAGCCAGUACAGGAUGGACCCGCGUCUGAUUAGCUAGUUGGUAAGGUAGCGGCUUACCAAGGCGACGAUCAGUAGCCGACCUGAGAGGGUGAUCGGCCACAUUGGAACUGAGACACGGUCCAA